GUCGAACGAGAAAGUGGAGCAAUCCAUGAGUAAAGUGGCGCACGGGUGAGUAACACGUGACUAACCUACCCUUGAGUGCGGAAUAACUUCGGGAAACCGAGGCUAAUACCGCAUAAUAUCUACGGAUCAAAGGAGCAAUUCGCUUAAGGAGGGGGUCGCGGCAGAUUAGUUAGUUGGCGGGGUAAUGGCCCACCAAGACGAUGAUCUGUAUCCGGCCUGAGAGGGCGCACGGACACACUGGAACUGAAACACGGUCCAGACUCCUACGGGAGGCAGCAGUGGGGAAUUUUGCGCAAUGGGGGAAACCCUGACGCAGCAACGCCGCGUGGAGGAUGAAAUCCCUUGGGAUGUAAACUCCUUUCGAUAGGGACGAUAAUGACGGUACCUAUAGAAGAAGCCCCGGCUAACUUCGUGCCAGCAGCCGCGGUAAUACGAGGGGGGCAAGCGUUGUUCGGAGUUAUUGGGCGUAAAGGGUGCGUAGGCGGUCUGAUAAGUCUGAUGUGAAAUCGAUGGGCUCAACCCAUCGUCUGCAUUAGAAACUGUCGGGCUUGAGUAUGGGAGAGGUGAGUGGAAUUUCCGGUGUAGCGGUGAAAUGCGUAGAUAUCGGAAGGAACACCUGUGGCGAAAGCGGCUCACUGGACCAUUACUGACGCUGAUGCACGAAAGCUAGGGGAGCAAACAGGAUUAGAUACCCUGGUAGUCCUAGCCCU
This 710-nucleotide ribosomal RNA is filed under the name uncultured Acidobacteriota bacterium. RNAcentral describes it as "bacterial SSU rRNA". It matches the Rfam family "Bacterial small subunit ribosomal RNA", at positions 61 to 803 of the family's 1533-position model. The record is from RNAcentral. Lineage: Bacteria; Pseudomonadati; Acidobacteriota.